This 517-nucleotide ribosomal RNA is filed under the name uncultured bacterium. RNAcentral's name for it is "bacterial SSU rRNA". It matches the Rfam family "Bacterial small subunit ribosomal RNA", at positions 28 to 526 of the family's 1533-position model. The record is from RNAcentral.
GACGAACGCUGGCGGCGUGCCUAAUACAUGCAAGUCGAGCGAACAGAUGAGGAGCUUGCUUCUCUGAUGUUAGCGGCGGACGGGUGAGUAACACGUGGGUAACCUACCUAUAAGACUGGGAUAACUCCGGGAAACCGGGGCUAAUACCGGAUAAUAUUUUGAACCGCAUGGUUCAAUAGUGAAAGACGGUUUAGGCUGUCACUUAUAGAUGGACCCGCGCCGUAUUAGCUAGUUGGUAAGGUAACGGCUUACCAAGGCGACGAUACGUAGCCGACCUGAGAGGGUGAUCGGCCACACUGGAACUGAGACACGGUCCAGACUCCUACGGGAGGCAGCAGUAGGGAAUCUUCCGCAAUGGGCGAAAGCCUGACGGAGCAACGCCGCGUGAGUGAUGAAGGUCUUCGGAUCGUAAAACUCUGUUGUUAGGGAAGAACAAAUUUGUUAGUAACUGAACAAGUCUUGACGGUACCUAACCAGAAAGCCACGGCUAACUACGUGCCAGCCGCCGCAGUAAAAC